AUACAGAAUUCUUUUAUUUAACUUAAACCAUGUAGUACUUUACUAGAAAAAAGCAGAGUAAGAGAAACUAACGUUGCCUUAGCUUCAGCCAUUCAAAAUAGACAGUUUCUUUUUUCCAUAAUGUAAAGAAUCCAGAGUAUAUCGGAAUAACAGGAAUAAAUUCUUACAACAGAAUAUACAAAAACAUUUUGAAAUUUUUUUCAUCUACUGAUUUUUUAUAUAAACAGGUUUUUUUUAGGAAUAAUUUAUACACAGAAAGUCAUUUUAUGUAACAAAUUGGCCAUGUUAUUACCUUUUUUUUUUUUUACUUUUUUAAAAAAACUUUUUUUAAACAAGAAAACUCAGAAAAUGCAUUAUUUGCGGUGCAUCCAUUCCAUCCCGCCUUCUGGUUUGAUUUUUUUAUCCCAGAUAAAGGGAUACCCAGAGGUAGACAAACUCUGGCAAACCUCUCACCUCAACCUCACUGGCUUAGAAAGCAGACAGGUGUUUUCGCCAGGCGUCUCUUCCACCUGUGGAUGUGUGUGUGUAAUGCCAAACAUCCAAAUGAAAAGUUGAAAACAACCCAAAUAGUUUCCGGGUCUUUCUCCCAUGUAGUGCAAAAACCCAGGUGUUUCCCACAACAGAGAUACUGUGGAGUUGGGAGACAUGGCCAACAAUCCACUGGAGUUAGAGGAAGUGGAGUCAAACUUUAGAACAAAUUUUUGUGUAUGCUGUAGUAUUAAAAAGAAUUGUUUUCUGUAUUGGAGAUAUGUUAUCUUCGGGAUUCUGCCUUCAAAAAGCAUUAAUCAUGAUACGAGGCAUGUAAGCAAAUGGCCUGUGUGCCCCAGAGCUGUCAUCUUUUAUGUGAUCACUGUGUAUGCUGUAAUCAUCAUGAAAACCAUUGGCUGUGCAGUCAAGUCUUCCCAUGUCCAUGGCACUGCGUGACAAUGACGGCAGCCAGACCAACCAAACCAGAUGCUGAACGGUGCCAUGCACUGCUGGGCUCCAACACCUCUGCUGUUUCCAUGGCCAAUGAGGUUCUUUCCAUCUGUUAAAGUAGCUACACUCCAAAGGGAAAUGACCAGUAAAAAAUGAUCCCCUUCCCAACCAGAAGGUUCUGGAAGACCAAGAUACUGAAGAUACAGAACUACUUUUUAAAUCAUCAUUCCUUUGUUAUAAACUAGGGCACAAAGCAUGGGGGGAAAAGAGGGUGAACCACGGCUGGGGUCAGGGAAAAAUCCUUUUUUGGCAUAUUGUAAAGCUAGCUAGUAAACAGGUGUCCUAAAAAAAAAAUGGAUCACAAACACAUUUGCACACACAGAGAAAAAAAGUGUCUUUAAAUUAUUUUCGGCAAUUAUAAACUACAAACAUUUUAUAAAAUUAUUCUAUGUUCUUACAAAAAUGCAAUGAAACAUUUAAUUAGUUCUUGUAAACCAGAUCUUCGUCAACUGACUACCCGUAAUCUACUGGACUUAAGAGCCCUAUUGAAAAUGCUAAUGAGUGACUAGUUAAAACAAUGUUGACCAGAAAGAUGCGGACACACACACGUGGACAUACAAAUGAGUGAUUAUGUUGUUGCAGAAACAAAAUAAAACCCUAAAGUCAUGCCCCAGAACUGACAACUGACGAGUGCGAUGUAGUUCGUGUUCUUGAACAAUUCGCCUUAACUCCAAGAUCAGUUUCCAGAGUAGGAUGUUAGGUUUCUUUGUUGAAACCAAAUGCCCAUGGAUGACUGCUGAGCCUUGAUGUGGUCUGAUAGCUUCAGAAACCAACAAGUUCAAAACAUUGCCCACAUUUCUUCCAAGCCCUGCACCCAGCUGCUCGUAACUCUUCUCUGUGCCAGGAUCCCUGUGACAAUGGUUCCGUACCUACCACCUGGUCAUUCCACCAUCAAGGAGCGCUUACUUCUCCAAAUGACGCAACCAGUCAUCUAAGAUGAAGGCCAAAAAUGAAACCCUCUGACCUGUCCAAGGUCUGUAUCUUCAGCAUCUCUGGCAACAGAGGUUCAGUCUAAAUAACAUCCUCUCUUUAAGUUCUCAUUUGUACCAACAGCUACUUCAGAGUGAAGAAAGUGUCUUUCAUCACUGGUUCUUAAGGAGUGGAUCUCUGGUCCACAUCUCCCAAUGCUGCUUAGCCCAGGAAAUGAAAAGACAGCUGACAACACAGAGUAACAUUAACGAAAAGAACAAACCCCAAACUUUAAAUGCAUAACUGGGACUGCUGGAAUGGGCCAAGGCAUACCAUGGCGGGUCACUGUCACCAGGAGGGUGCCUAUGUUUUAGAAGGAAGUGGCCACCAACACUGUCUGGCCACCCUGGAAGGACCCAAUGUGACAGCUAAGGACACUAGACAAGCAUCCUAGCCUUCUGAUCUCAGUGUGAUCUUGCCACAGAGCCACUUACAAGCCAUUCGGUCACCAGCCUGCAGAGGUGGACUGCUGUGGGAGAGGCUUCGGUGGAACAAACUGGCCUAGAAUCUGGUGCCACAGAAUAGUUGGCUCAUAAAUCUUUUAUCCCAAAGCACCCCUAUUUGCACCGAGCAUCUUGUCAUUUGGUAGUUCCACAGUGACUGCUCUUCUAUUUUACGAAGCCACUUUUCCUACCAC
This 2584-nucleotide long non-coding RNA is filed under the name Macaca fascicularis (crab-eating macaque). RNAcentral's name for it is "lncRNA (ENSMFAG00000065705.1)". Lineage: Eukaryota; Metazoa; Chordata; Mammalia; Primates; Cercopithecidae. The record is from RNAcentral.